Molecule: ribosomal RNA, 468 nt
Filed under: uncultured bacterium
Lineage: Bacteria
Description: partial 16S ribosomal RNA
Rfam family: Bacterial small subunit ribosomal RNA
Source: RNAcentral
GACGAACGCUGGCGGCGUGCUUAACACAUGCAAGUCGAACGGAAAGGCCCUGCUUUUGUGGGGUGCUCGAGUGGUGAACGGGUGAGUAACACGUGAGUAACCUGCCCUUGACUUUGGGAUAACUUCAGGAAACUGGGGCUAAUACCGGAUAGGAGCUCCUGUUGCAUGGUGGGGGUUGGAAAGUUUCGGCGGUUGGGGAUGGACUCGCGGCUUAUCAGCUUGUUGGUGGGGUAGUGGCUUACCAAGGCUUUGACGGGUAGCCGGCCUGAGAGGGUGACCGGCCACAUUGGGACUGAGAUACGGCCCAGACUCCUACGGGAGGCAGCAGUGGGGAAUAUUGCACAAUGGGCGGAAGCCUGAUGCAGCAACGCCGCGUGCGGGAUGACGGCCUUCGGGUUGUAAACCGCUUUCGCCUGUGACGAAGCGUGAGUGACGGUAAUGGGUAAAGAAGCACCGGCUAACUACGUG